Molecule: transfer RNA, 55 nt
Filed under: Vibrio cholerae
Lineage: Bacteria; Pseudomonadati; Pseudomonadota; Gammaproteobacteria; Vibrionales; Vibrionaceae
Also listed under: 2 other names
Description: tRNA-Leu
Rfam family: tRNA
About the family: Transfer RNA (tRNA) molecules are approximately 80 nucleotides in length. Their secondary structure includes four short double-helical elements and three loops (D, anti-codon, and T loops).
Source: RNAcentral
GCUCGUCGGGCUCAUAACCCGAAGGUCGUUGGUUCAAAUCCAGCUCCCGCAACCA